AAGGAAUGAAAGAUAAAACCCUAGAAUUUGUAGAUUGGAGCUUCCGCAUCCAAAAUCCGCCUCCAAGGGGUGAAGGGUGUGUUUCUAUGUCUCCUUCUGCCAAAACAUACCCUCUUUGGGUUGCGUAAAUCAAUAUAUAGUUCAUUAAAACAAGCAGAAAUUGGCCCAGGCCCAAGAGACUGACGCUCAGCGCUGGAUUUGCACUCAGCGUUGGCACUCAAGCAUCCACCAGUGGAUUCCUCCCCAAAGCUAGCGCUCAACACUGCCUGCGAUUCCUCUUUUAAGCACUUU
RNAcentral lists this long non-coding RNA (291 nucleotides) under Vigna radiata. RNAcentral's name for it is "long non-coding RNA (VRAD_LNC008764)". The record is from RNAcentral. Lineage: Eukaryota; Viridiplantae; Streptophyta; Magnoliopsida; Fabales; Fabaceae.